RNAcentral lists this transfer RNA (75 nucleotides) under Kamagatella elastica. RNAcentral describes it as "Gottschalkiaceae bacterium SANA tRNA-Gly". It matches the Rfam family "tRNA". Rfam says of the family: Transfer RNA (tRNA) molecules are approximately 80 nucleotides in length. Their secondary structure includes four short double-helical elements and three loops (D, anti-codon, and T loops). Lineage: Bacteria; Bacillati; Bacillota; Tissierellia; Tissierellales; Kamagatellaceae. The record is from RNAcentral.
GCGAAAGUAGCUCAGUGGUAGAGCUUCGCCUUGCCAAGGCGAAGGUCGCGAGUUCGAAUCUCGUCUUUCGCUCCA